AUUGAACGCUGGCGGCAGGCCUAACACAUGCAAGUCGAGCGGAUGAAGGGAGCUUGCUCCUGGAUUCAGCGGCGGACGGGUGAGUAAUGCCUAGGAAUCUGCCUGGUAGUGGGGGAUAACGUCCGGAAACGGGCGCUAAUACCGCAUACGUCCUGAGGGAGAAAGUGGGGGAUCUUCGGACCUCACGCUAUCAGAUGAGCCUAGGUCGGAUUAGCUAGUUGGUGGGGUAAAGGCCUACCAAGGCGACGAUCCGUAACUGGUCUGAGAGGAUGAUCAGUCACACUGGAACUGAGACACGGUCCAGACUCCUACGGGAGUCAGCAGUGGGGAAUAUUGGACAAUGGGCGAAAGCCUGAUCCAGCCAUGCCGCGUGUGUGAAGAAGGUCUUCGGAUUGUAAAGCACUUUAAGUUGGGAGGAAGGGCAGUAAGUUAAUACCUUGCUGUUUGGACGUUACCAACAGAAUAAGCACCGGCUAACUUCGU
Molecule: ribosomal RNA, 483 nt
Filed under: uncultured bacterium
Lineage: Bacteria
Description: partial 16S ribosomal RNA
Rfam family: Bacterial small subunit ribosomal RNA
Source: RNAcentral